AGGGGGAUCUAACUCCAAGUUUUUCUACUACUUAUCCAAAAUGUCACCAUCCACCCUAGCCAAGCCACGUUAUAACCCUAAAAGACCUCUAAUGUGUGUGCACAAAGUGAACCGAAUGAAUUCUUAGAUUACUUGCAAAAUUAUUGUUGACUUGCAUGGAUGUGUUGAUUUGAGUGAAUUACCAAAAACUGAAGAGUGCAUGUGAGUAGUGUGAUGAAAUCAUAGAGCCUUGGUCGAAAAGUGUGAACUACUUGAAAAUGUCUUGCGGGAACGNNN
Molecule: long non-coding RNA, 276 nt
Filed under: Trifolium pratense (red clover)
Lineage: Eukaryota; Viridiplantae; Streptophyta; Magnoliopsida; Fabales; Fabaceae
Description: long non-coding RNA (TPRA_LNC014341)
Source: RNAcentral